RNAcentral lists this ribosomal RNA (468 nucleotides) under uncultured Acinetobacter sp. RNAcentral describes it as "bacterial SSU rRNA". It matches the Rfam family "Bacterial small subunit ribosomal RNA", at positions 337 to 796 of the family's 1533-position model. Lineage: Bacteria; Pseudomonadati; Pseudomonadota; Gammaproteobacteria; Moraxellales; Moraxellaceae. The record is from RNAcentral.
UCCUACGGGGGGCUGCAGUGGGGAAUAUUGGACAAUGGGGGGAACCCUGAUCCAGCCAUGCCGCGUGUGUGAAGAAGGCCUUUUGGUUGUAAAGCACUUUAAGCGAGGAGGAGGCUUACCUGGUUAAUACCUGGGAUAAGUGGACGUUACUCGCAGAAUAAGCACCGGCUAACUCUGUGCCAGCAGCCGCGGUAAUACAGAGGGUGCGAGCGUUAAUCGGAUUUACUGGGCGUAAAGCGUGCGUAGGCGGCUUUUUAAGUCGGAUGUGAAAUCCCCGAGCUUAACUUGGGAAUUGCAUUCGAUACUGGGAAGCUAGAGUAUGGGAGAGGAUGGUAGAAAUCCAGGUGUAGCGGUGAAAUGCGUAGAGAUCUGGAGGAAUACCGAUGGCGAAGGCAGCCAUCUGGCCUAAUACUGACGCUGAGGUACGAAAGCAUGGGGAGCAAACAGGAUUAGAUACCCUAGUAGUCC